This 240-nucleotide unclassified non-coding RNA is filed under the name soil metagenome. RNAcentral describes it as "partial contains 5.8S ribosomal RNA, internal transcribed spacer 2, and large subunit ribosomal RNA". The record is from RNAcentral.
AACGCACGAGACCUGCGGACCUGCGGAAGGAUCAUUACUGAAUUAAUGGAAGGUUGUAGCUGGCUCCUCGGAGCAUGUGCUCGCCUUUCAAAUUCAUCUUAACCACCUGUGCACUUUUGUAGACUGUGGUAACCCUCAGUGCAUUUAGCAUUGGAUUGAGAGACUGCGAUCUUAGCUGUCUUUCAACAUCACAGUCUAUGUUUAUAUCUAUAUACUACAGUCUUAGAAUGUUUGUUGUGG